AUACGCCCUCCGGGGGAAAGGUCUGCCGCUGAAAGAGGGGCCCGCGUCUGAUUAGUUUGUUGGUAGGGUAAAAGCCUACCAAGGCUACGAUCAGUAGCUGGUCUGAGAGGAUGAUCAUUCACACUGGGACUGAGACACGGUCCAGACUCCUACGGGAGGCAGCAGUCGGGAAUAUUGGACAAUGGAGGAAACUCUGAUCCAGAAAUGCCGCGUGUG
This 216-nucleotide ribosomal RNA is filed under the name uncultured Pseudomonadota bacterium. Its description in RNAcentral is "uncultured proteobacterium partial 16S ribosomal RNA". It matches the Rfam family "Bacterial small subunit ribosomal RNA", at positions 173 to 405 of the family's 1533-position model. Lineage: Bacteria; Pseudomonadati; Pseudomonadota. The record is from RNAcentral.